Molecule: ribosomal RNA, 571 nt
Filed under: Tremella indecorata
Lineage: Eukaryota; Fungi; Basidiomycota; Tremellomycetes; Tremellales; Tremellaceae
Description: eukaryotic LSU rRNA
Rfam family: 5.8S ribosomal RNA (bases 174-328)
Source: RNAcentral
GAAGUAAAAGUCGUAACAAGGUUUCCGUAGGUGAACCUGCGGAAGGAUCAUUCUUGAUUUGGCCGAGAGGCUAUUCAAUUACCCAAACACACCUGUGAACCGUCGGUCUCCGGACCGUUUUUACACCUAUUAAACAAGUAGUCCAGAACGUGAAAACAUAAAUAACAUAAUAAAACUUUCAACAACGGAUCUCUUGGCUCUCGCAUCGAUGAAGAACGCAGCGAAUUGCGAUAAGUAAUGUGAAUUGCAGAAUUUCAGUGAAUCAUCGAAUCUUUGAACGCACCUUGCGCCCGUUGGUAUUCCGACGGGCAUGCCUGUUUGAGUGUCAUGAAUUAUCAAUCCCUCGGGUUUUGUAACGAAACCCGUUGGACUUGGACUUGGGUGUCUGCCGGGUUUAAACCGGCUCGCCUUAAAUGUGACAGGUGGUCGGCUCUUGACCCAGUGAUCAGCGUGAUAAGUCGUCGCUGGUUCCGUGGUCUUGAGCCCUGCCUCAUAAACCGUUCCUUUUUGGACAAAUUCAUUCGAUCUGACCUCAAAUCAGGUAGGACUACCCGCUGAACUUAAGCAUAUC